GGGACACGUGGUAUCCUGUCUGAAUAUGGGGGGACCAUCCUCCAAGGCUAAAUACUCCUGACUGACCGAUAGUGAACCAGUACCGUGAGGGAAAGGCGAAAAGAACCCCGGCGAGGGGAGUGAAAAAGAACCUGAAACCGUGUACGUACAAGCAGUGGGAGCCUCUUUAUGGGGUGACUGCGUACCUUUUGUAUAAUGGGUCAGCGACUUAUAUUCUGUAGCAAGGUUAACCGAAUAGGGGAGCCGAAGGGAAACCGAGUCUUAACUGGGCGUUAAGUUGCAGGGUAUAGACCCGAAACCCGGUGAUCUAGCCAUGGGCAGGUUGAAGGUUGGGUAACACUAACUGGAGGACCGAACCGACUAAUGUUGAAAAAUUAGCGGAUGACUUGUGGCUGGGGGUGAAAGGCCAAUCAAACCGGGAGAUAGCUGGUUCUCCCCGAAAGCUAUUUAGGUAGCGCCUCGUGAAUUCAUCUCCGGGGGUAGAGCACUGUUUCGGCAAGGGGGUCAUCCCGACUUACCAACCCGAUGCAAACUGCGAAUACCGGAGAAUGUUAUCACGGGAGACACACGGCGGGUGCUAACGUCCGUCGUGAAGAGGGAAACAACCCAGACCGCCAGCUAAGGUCCCAAAGUCAUGGUUAAGUGGGAAACGAUGUGGGAAGGCCCAGACAGCCAGGAUGUUGGCUUAGAAGCAGCCAUCAUUUAAAGAAAGCGUAAUAGCUCACUGGUCGAGUCGGCCUGCGCGGAAGAUGUAACGGGGCUAAACCAUGCACCGAAGCUGCGGCAGCGACACUAUGUGUUGUUGGGUAGGGGAGCGUUCUGUAAGCCUGUGAAGGUGUGCUGUGAGGUAUGCUGGAGGUAUCAGAAGUGCGAAUGCUGACAUAAGUAACGAUAAAGCGGGUGAAAAGCCCGCUCGCCGGAAGACCAAGGGUUCCUGUCCAACGUUAAUCGGGGCAGGGUGAGUCGACCCCUAAGGCGAGGCCGAAAGGCGUAGUCGAUGGGAAACAGGUUAAUAUUCCUGUACUUGGUGUUACUGCGAAGGGGGGACGGAGAAGGCUAUGUUGGCCGGGCGACGGUUGUCCCGGUUUAAGCGUGUAGGCUGGUUUUCCAGGCAAAUCCGGAAAAUCAAGGCUGAGGCGUGAUGACGAGGCACUACGGUGCUGAAGCAACAAAUGCCCUGCUUCCAGGAAAAGCCUCUAAGCAUCAGGUAACAUCAAAUCGUACCCCAAACCGACACAGGUGGUCAGGUAGAGAAUACCAAGGCGCUUGAGAGAACUCGGGUGAAGGAACUAGGCAAAAUGGUGCCGUAACUUCGGGAGAAGGCACGCUGAUAUGUAGGUGAAGUCCCUUGCGGAUGGAGCUGAAAUCAGUCGAAGAUACCAGCUGGCUGCAACUGUUUAUUAAAAACACAGCACUGUGCAAACACGAAAGUGGACGUAUACGGUGUGACGCCUGCCCGGUGCCGGAAGGUUAAUUGAUGGGGUUAGCGGUAACGCGAAGCUCUUGAUCGAAGCCCCGGUAAACGGCGGCCGUAACUAUAACGGUCCUAAGGUAGCGAAAUUCCUUGUCGGGUAAGUUCCGACCUGCACGAAUGGCGUAAUGAUGGCCAGGCUGUCUCCACCCGAGACUCAGUGAAAUUGAACUCGCUGUGAAGAUGCAGUGUACCCGCGGCAAGACGGAAAGACCCCGUGAACCUUUACUA
This 1702-nucleotide ribosomal RNA is filed under the name Escherichia coli. RNAcentral describes it as "partial 23S ribosomal RNA". It matches the Rfam family "Bacterial large subunit ribosomal RNA", at positions 419 to 2106 of the family's 2925-position model. The record is from RNAcentral. Lineage: Bacteria; Pseudomonadati; Pseudomonadota; Gammaproteobacteria; Enterobacterales; Enterobacteriaceae.